AGCAUAUCAAUAAGCGGAGGAAAAGAAACCAACCGGGAUUGCCUCAGUAACGGCGAGUGAAGCGGCAAGAGCUCAAAUUUGAAAGCUGGCCCCUCCGGGGUCCGCGUUGUAAUUUGCAGAGGAUGCUUUGGGUGCGGCCCCCGUCUAAGUGCCCUGGAACGGGCCGUCAGAGAGGGUGAGAAUCCCGUCUUGGGCGGGGUGUCCGUGCCCGUGUAAAGCUCCUUCGACGAGUCGAGUUGUUUGGGAAUGCAGCUCUAAAUGGGUGGUAAAUUUCAUCUAAAGCUAAAUACUGGCCGGAGACCGAUAGCGCACAAGUAGAGUGAUCGAAAGAUGAAAAGCACUUUGAAAAGAGAGUUAAACAGCACGUGAAAUUGUUGAAAGGGAAGCGCUUGCGACCAGACUCGCCCUCGGGGUUCAGCCGGCACUCGUGCCGGUGUACUUCCCCGGGGGCGGGCCAGCGUCAGCUUGGGCGGCCGGUCAAAGGCCUCCGGAAUGUAGUGCCCCCCGGGGCACCUUAUAGCCGGAGGUGCAAUGCGGCCAGCCUGGGCUGAGGAACGCGCUUCGGCACGGACGCUGGCAUAAUGGUCGCAAACGACCCGUCUUGAAACACGGACCAAGGAGUCUAACAUCUACGCGAGUGUUCGGGUGUCAAACCCGUACGCGCAGUGAAAGCAAACGGAGGUGGGAGCCCCCUCGCGGGGCGCACCAUCGACCGAUCCUGAUGUCUUCGGAUGGAUUUGAGUAAGAGCGUAAAUGUGGGGACCCGAAAGAUGGUGAACUAUGCCUGAAUAGGGCGAAGCCAGAGGAAACUCUGGUGGAGGCUCGCAGCGGUUCUGACGUGCAAAUCGAUCGUCAAAUUUGGGUAUAGGGGCGAAAGACUAAUCGAACCAUCUAGUAGCUGGUUCCUGCCGAAAU
This 915-nucleotide ribosomal RNA is filed under the name Aspergillus japonicus. RNAcentral describes it as "LSU rRNA". It matches the Rfam family "Eukaryotic large subunit ribosomal RNA", at positions 37 to 967 of the family's 3401-position model. The record is from RNAcentral. Lineage: Eukaryota; Fungi; Ascomycota; Eurotiomycetes; Eurotiales; Aspergillaceae.